GUAAAUAAUGAUAUCAACCCGUUUAAGUUAUGUAUUUGACUUUUUUCACAAUACAUCGCAUUUAAGGACAUGCACAUACACUGGCUACAGAUAAUGUAUCACUAUCGAGUGGUUAUCCUGACAUGAACUGCAAAAAACGUCGCAGAUCUUCAAUGCCUUGGUUUGUGGACGCUUGAGUACUUGAGAUGUCUGGCAGUCACGCUGCAGGUUUUUUGCACCAACUGGAAGUGCGAUGUUUAUUGGUUCCAGCCAAAAAGGACUUCUCUCAGGUUCUAGGCACCAAUGAUGCCUAAGUACAGUGUACUAGCAGCUGAUUUAUUUAAAGACGAUUAUAUGUGACAUGCUCUGCAUGUACAUAUCUGUAGCCAAAGGCAAUAACUAGACAACCUUGACUGACAGUGCAUAAAGAAACUACCUUAGAAGUAUACUACAUACUUGGAAUCAUUGCCAUAAGACUUAAUAUUUAAAAUCCCUAAUCAUCACUCAUUGGCAUUCAAAAUACAGAAACGUUACAAGCUUGUGUGUGCCCAGUGUUGGUUUAAACACGUCAUACAUUUGGUAUCGUUUAAAAGGAUGAUCCAACAAUGUUGGCAAACUGAUUGGACAUCUUGUUACUAAAGCAAGCAGUGGGUAAACCUUAUAUUCGAUGUAAUGUAAUUUUGCAUGAUACUGCUAUUUACUGAAAGGGAACUUUUGAAGAUGGUGUGCUGGGUCGUAUACCCUUAUUCUUUCAUCAAAAGGUGAUUCAGCUGAUGACAUGAACAUCUGCAGACUGAAAGACAUCUUUAAUUCUAACACCAGUGAGACAUUUUAAUGAAAAGGCUCAAAGUGGUCAAUAUAUUUAUGCAUUCCCCUCAAUUUGAAGACUUCGUUUAUCGUUUGAGGGUGUUUGUCUUGAAAAACAUGGUAUAAGAUAUAAUACAUAGCAUAUUGAUUAAAUAUAAUAAUAUUUUUAUGCAAAUGCAUUGAUUUGAUUAUACCCACUGAAAUGUGUAUAUUUAAGGUUUUUGUUAUUUUUUGCAUGUCAAUCAGUAUAUACACACUGUACAAGUACAUAGUAUGUGUUGUAAAUUGAUAAAGUGUGUAGUUUUAAUGAGAAUAUGAUUAUGUAUGUUCCGAAGUGUUGAAAAUUAAAGUGUAAAAGUGUAUUAGUAUGCCCCCUUCGAAGAAGAGGUGUAUAUUGCUUUGCACAUGUCGGUCGGUAUGUCGGUCCGUUGGUAGACCAAAGCUUGUUCGACUGAUAACUCAGCAAUUCCUAGACGUAUGGUCCUCAAACUUGACAUGAAGGUUGGGCCUGACCAGUAUAUGACCCCUAUUGAUUUAAGGGCUCAUCGGGUCAAAGGUCAAGGUCACAGUGACCUUUAAUGGUAAAAUAAUUUUAAAGCUUGUCCGAGUGAUAACUCAACAAUGCCUAGACCUAUGGUAAUCAAACUUGAUAUGGAAGUUGGGCCUGACCAGUAGAUGACCCCUAUUUUUUGGGGGAUCAUCGGGCCAAAGGUCAAGGUCACAGUGACCUUGAAUGGUAAAAGGUUGUCCGAGUGAUAACUCGACAAUGCCUGCACCCAUAGUCCUCAUACUUGACUUGGAGGUUGGGCCUGACAAGUAGAUGACCCCUAUUGUUUUUGGGGGUCAUCGGGCCAAAGGUCAAGGUCACAGUGACCUUGAAUGGAAAAAGGUUGUCCAAGUGAUAACUUGACAAUGCCUGCACCCAUGGCCCUCAAACUUGACUUGGGGAUUGGGCCUGACCAAUAGAUGACCCCUAUUGUUUUUGGGGGUCAUCGGGCCAAAGGACAAGGUCACAGUGACCUUGAAUGGGAAUAGGUUGUCCGUGUAAUAACCCGACAAUGCCUGCACCCAUGGCCCUCAAACUUGACUUGGAGGUUGGGCCUGACCAGUAGAUGGCCCCUUUUGAUUUUAGGGGUCAACGGUCAAGGUCGAAGUGAUCUUGAAAGCAAACUCGACAAUUCCUGGACCUAUGGUCAUCAAACUUGGCAUGAAGGUUGGGCCUGGCCAGUAGAUGACCCCUCUUGACAUUGGGGUUAUCGGGCCAAGGUCAAGGUCACAGUAACCUUUAACGCAAAAAAGUUAAAAAAUCUUCUCCCAGUGAUAUCUCAACAAUAACUGAACCUAUGAUCAUCAAACUUGACAUGGAAGUUGGGCCUGACCAGGAAAUGACCCUUAUUGAUUUUAGGAGUCAUUGGGUCAAAGGUCAAGUUCACAGUGACCUUCAAUGCGAAAAUGUUUCGAGUGAUAACUCGACAAUGCCUGCACCCAUGGCCCUCAAACCUGACUUAGAGUUGUGUCUGACCUGUAGAUGACCCCUUAUGAUUUUAGGGGUCAAAGGUCAAGGUCACAGUGACCUUGAAUGAAAAAAGCUCGUCUGUGUGAUAACUUGUCAAUGCCUGCACCCAUGGCUCUCAAACUUGACAUUUAGAUUUUUGGUGACCAGCUGAUGACUCCUAUGUAUUUUGAGGUCAAAGGUCAUGGUCGUUACACACUCUAUCCUCACACUUUGAAUGGUCAUAAUCUUAAAACUGCCUCAACGGCAUCCAAUGUCAGUGACAAAUCAGCUGUCAUUUCGGUCCAUGCAUAUUUCAUUCAAUUGUCCAUAUAAUCCUGACAACAUGGCGCUCAGGUGGGGCAUAAUGUUUGACAAACAUCUCUUGUUUAACUUGAUUUGCAGUUGAUGUAGAACUUUGCAUUGAAUGAUAACCCUCAAAUGUUAUGUUGUGAGGUCUGGGGUUAUUUUAUUUCAGUAUAAUACUUGUACAUUUAAAAAA
Mya arenaria is the source of this 2780-nucleotide long non-coding RNA. RefSeq lists it as uncharacterized. The transcript has 3 exons. The record is from RefSeq and is a predicted model, not a curated record. NCBI's taxonomy places the organism in Eukaryota, Metazoa, Mollusca, Bivalvia, Myida, Myidae.